This 450-nucleotide ribosomal RNA is filed under the name uncultured bacterium. RNAcentral describes it as "bacterial SSU rRNA". It matches the Rfam family "Bacterial small subunit ribosomal RNA", at positions 354 to 796 of the family's 1533-position model. The record is from RNAcentral.
GUGGGGAAUAUUGGACAAUGGGCGAAAGCCUGAUCCAGCCAUGCCGCGUGUGUGAAGAAGGUCUUCGGAUUGUAAAGCACUUUAAGUUGGGAGGAAGGGCAGUAAGUUAAUACCUUGCUGUUUUGACGUUACCGACAGAAUAAGCACCGGCUAACUUCGUGCCAGCAGCCGCGGUAAUACGAAGGGUGCAAGCGUUAAUCGGAAUUACUGGGCGUAAAGCGCGCGUAGGCGGUUUUGUAAGUUGGAGGUGAAAUCCCCGGGCUCAACCUGGGAACUGCCUCCAAAACUGCAUGACUAGAGGACGGUAGAGGGUAGUGGAAUUUCCUGUGUAGCGGUGAAAUGCGUAGAUAUAGGAAGGAACACCAGUGGCGAAGGCGACUACCUGGACUGAUACUGACACUGAGGUGCGAAAGCGUGGGGAGCAAACAGGAUUAGAUACCCGAGUAGUCC